This 253-nucleotide ribosomal RNA is filed under the name uncultured bacterium. RNAcentral describes it as "partial 16S ribosomal RNA". It matches the Rfam family "Bacterial small subunit ribosomal RNA", at positions 524 to 776 of the family's 1533-position model. The record is from RNAcentral.
UACGUAGGGGGCAAGCGUUGUCCGGAUUUAUUGGGCGUAAGGCGCGUGUAGGCGGCCAGGUAGGUCUGCUGUGAAAACUCGAGGCUCAACCUCGAGACGUCGGCGGAAACCCUCUGGCUAGAGUCCGGAAGAGGAGAGUGGAAUUCCUGGUGUAGCGGUGAAAUGCGCAGAUAUCAGGAGGAACACCAAUUGCGAAGGCAGCUCGCUGGAACGUAACUGACGCUGAGACGCGAAAGCGUGGGGAGCAAACAGG